RNAcentral lists this ribosomal RNA (301 nucleotides) under uncultured bacterium. RNAcentral describes it as "partial 16S ribosomal RNA". It matches the Rfam family "Bacterial small subunit ribosomal RNA", at positions 509 to 807 of the family's 1533-position model. The record is from RNAcentral.
CAGUAGCCGCGGUAAUACGUAGGGCGCAAGCGUUGUCCGGAAUUAUUGGGCGUAAAGAGCUCGUAGGCGGUCUGUCGCGUCUGGUGUGAAAUCCCGAGGCUCAACCUCGGGCUUGCAUCGGGUACGGGCAGACUAGAGUGCGGUAGGGGAGACUGGAAUUCCUGGUGUAGCGGUGGAAUGCGCAGAUAUCAGGAGGAACACCGAUGGCGAAGGCAGGUCUCUGGGCCGCAACUGACGCUGAGGUACGAAAGCAUGGGGAGCAAACAGGAUUAGAUACCCCCGUAGUCCCUGUCUCUUAUAC